Molecule: ribosomal RNA, 497 nt
Filed under: uncultured bacterium
Lineage: Bacteria
Description: partial 16S ribosomal RNA
Rfam family: Bacterial small subunit ribosomal RNA
Source: RNAcentral
GAUGAACGCUGGCGGCGUGCCUAAUACAUGCAAGUCGAGCGAACGGACGAGAAGCUUGCUUCUCUGAUGUUAGCGGCGGACGGGUGAGUAACACGUGGAUAACCUACCUAUAAGACUGGGAUAAUUUCGGGAAACCGGAGCUAAUACCGGAUGAUAUUUUGAACCGCAUGGUUCAAAGGUGAAAGACGGUCUUGCUGUCACUUAUAGAUGGAUCCGCGCUGCAUUAGCUAGUUGGUAAGGUAACGGCUUACCAAGGCAACGAUGCAUAGCCGACCUGAGAGGGUGAUCGGCCACACUGGAACUGAGACACGGUCCAGACUCCUACGGGAGGCAGCAGUAGGGAAUCUUCCGCAAUGGGCGAAAGCCUGACGGAGCAACGCCGCGUGAGUGAUGAAGGUCUUCGGAUCGUAAAACUCUGUUAUUAGGGAAGAACAUAUGUGUAAGUAACUGUGCACAUCUUGACGGUACCUAAUCAGAAAGCCACGGCUAACUACGUG